UAGGGAAUCUUCGGCAAUGGACGAAAGUCUGACCGAGCACCGCCGCGUGAGUGAAGAAGGUUUUCGGAUCGUCAAACUCUGUUGUUAGAGCAGAACAAGGACGUUAGUAACUGAACGUCCCCUGACGGUAUCUAACCAGAAAGCCACGGCUAACUACGUGCCAGCAGCCGCGGUAAUACGUAGGUGGCAAGCGUUGUCCGGAUUUAUUGGGCGUAAAGCGAGCGCAGGCGGUUUCUUAAGUCUGAUGUGAAAGCCCCCGGCUCAACCGGGGAGGGUCAUUGGAAACUGGGAGACUUGAGUGCAGAAGAGGAGAGUGGAAUUCCAUGUGUAGCGGUGAAAUGCGUAGAUAUAUGGAGGAACACCAGUGGCGAAGGCGGCUCUCUGGUCUGUAACUGACGCUGAGGCUCGAAAGCGUGGGGAGCAAACAGG
RNAcentral lists this ribosomal RNA (429 nucleotides) under Gemmatimonadota bacterium. RNAcentral describes it as "Gemmatimonadetes bacterium partial 16S ribosomal RNA". It matches the Rfam family "Bacterial small subunit ribosomal RNA", at positions 355 to 776 of the family's 1533-position model. The record is from RNAcentral. Lineage: Bacteria; Pseudomonadati; Gemmatimonadota.